CAUGCAAGUCGAGGGGCAGCGCGGGAUAGCAAUAUCCUGGCGGCGACCGGCGGAAGGGUGCGUAACGCGUGAGCGACAUGCCCGUUGCCCGGGGACAACCGGUGGAAACGCCGACUAAUCCCCGAUGGGAUAUUGUGCCGCAUGGCACGAUAUUGAAAGUUACGGCGGCGACGGAUUGGCUCGCGUCCGAUUAGCUUGUUGGCGGGGUAACGGCCCACCAAGGCUACGAUCGGUAGGGGUUCUGAGAGGAAGGCCCCCCACAAUGGGACUGAGACACGGCCCAUACUCCUACGGGAGGCAGCAGUGAGGAAUAUUGGUCAAUGGGCGGAAGCCUGAACCAGCCAUGCCGCGUGCGGGAAGGAGGCCCUAUGGGCUGUGAACCGCUUUUGCCGGGGGGCAAUAAGGGCGUCGCGCACGCCCGAUGAGAGUACCAGGC
This 436-nucleotide ribosomal RNA is filed under the name uncultured bacterium. Its description in RNAcentral is "bacterial SSU rRNA". It matches the Rfam family "Bacterial small subunit ribosomal RNA", at positions 54 to 483 of the family's 1533-position model. The record is from RNAcentral.